Oncorhynchus keta (chum salmon) is the source of this 381-nucleotide long non-coding RNA. RefSeq lists it as uncharacterized. The transcript is spliced from 3 exons. The record is from RefSeq and is a predicted model, not a curated record. Lineage: Eukaryota; Metazoa; Chordata; Actinopteri; Salmoniformes; Salmonidae.
UUUGACGUCUUCAACACAAGGAGCACAAGGAGGCCUCGGCUCAAAGGCUGCCAUCAACACUGACAAUCUGCACCAAACUGAUGCAUUCCUGACAGAAGCAUGGAAGUACCUGCUCAACUUAAAACACGGGGGACGAGACUCUAUACGCCAGGAAAAGGACACACUGCAGUCACCGAAUGGGUGGUCAACAGAUUCCCUCAUCAGGAUCCUCCCUGCUCUCCUGCAACUACAGAAGAGGCUGGAAAUACAACCCGAACACAGGGCAGUUCCAGGCUGCAUUCUGCCGCCUUCUCGCAAGGUGUGGGGUGAAGGCAAGGAUAACAGGCAAUGUGGUCGGCCAUGACUCCACCCGUGUGGCCUCCGAUAGAGCAAUGACACCAG